This 542-nucleotide ribosomal RNA is filed under the name uncultured archaeon. Its description in RNAcentral is "bacterial SSU rRNA". It matches the Rfam family "Archaeal small subunit ribosomal RNA", at positions 325 to 864 of the family's 1478-position model. The record is from RNAcentral.
AUGGGGCGCACCAGGCGCGAAACCUUUACACUGCACGACAGUGCGAUAGGGGAACUCCGAGUGCGAGGGCAUACAACGCCCUCGCUUUUGUAGACCCUAAGGCGGUCUACGAACAAGUGCUGGGCAAGACCGGUGCCAGCCGCCGCGGUAAUACCGGCAGCACGAGUGAUGGCCGAUAUUAUUGGGCCUAAAGCGUCCGUAGCCUGCCAAACAGGUCUGCUGGGAAAUCCGCUAGCUUAACUAGCGGGCGUCCAGCGGAAACCAGUUGGCUUGGGACCGGAAGACCCGAGGGGUACGUCUGGGGUAGGAGUGAAAUCCUGUAAUCCUGGACGGACCGCCGGUGGCGAAAGCGCCUCGGGAGGACGGAUCCGACGGUGAGGGACGAAAGCUAGGGUCACGAACCGGAUUAGAUACCCGGGUAGUCCUAGCUGUAAACGAUGCUCGCUAGGUGUGGCGCUGGCUACGAGCCAGCGCUGCGCCGUAGGGAAGCCGUGAAGCGAGCCGCCUGGGAAGUACGUCCGCAAGGAUGAAACUUAAAGGAA